CCGAACAUCCCUUUCCCUUUUCCUUUACCUGUUCACUGGCAAAGUUUUAUCAGCUAUUUCCAUCAGCUUCCCGUUUCCAUUGCUAAUCCUACGCCACUAGAUCCACCAUCUCUUCUGUCGUGGUAAUCAUCCUCCUCCAUCGGGAACAUUGGUACUCAUGGCCCAGUUUGUCUUCUGUCUCUCUCCACCUCCCUCAUAACAAAUCCCGGCACCUCAUCCAUAAGGUAAAUCAUUUCCCCGCUUUUUAGUCCCUCUGUAGCUAUAAUGUGUGACGAUUAAUUUCCCCCUUUAGCAGUGUAUAGAAACUUGCAGCUAUGGAAACCCUCCCUUAACUUCUGUAUAUCCUUGAUAAUAGCCCCAAUAACCGAAUCAUCUUCCCGAUUGCUGCACAACUUUUUCACUACUUUUUCACAGCUUUUUAAAACAUCGUGUUUAAGUUAUUAAUACGAUUUGUACAAACAUGUUUACAAAUUGAUAUAUAUAUGUUUUUAAAUAUUUUCACGAUAAAUCCAAGUUAUACUUAAACUAACAAGGUUAAAAAAAUAUGAUUAAUUCACGCGUAGAUCUCGAAAAGUUAAUCGAAAUAAAAAAAAUCGCCUCAAUCGGACAACCGAGCGAAAAGUUAUGGUCUUUCAAGGUUUUCCAAGCUAAAAAACAUAAACUGUUCAUGAAUUAUUACUUCAAAAUGCUUUUUUUGGAGGGAAAAUACCAAAAAGCCCUAUAUUUUUAAAAUUUAUCGAAAUGGGCCCGGUAUUUUAUUUUUUUGACCGUUUGGUAGUGUUCACGCGCGGGCCGAAAUCGCGGCCACGUCAGCGCGCUUUGCUGACGUGGCCGCGAUUUCCUAGCGCGUACCUUGAUAUUACGCUGACGUGGACGCGAUUUCGCAAAAAAUGGACCAUUCCAGUAAAUAAUUAAAUAAUGGGCCCAUUUCGAUAAUUUUUGAAAAAAAGGGCUUUUAUUGGUAAAUUGCCCAUUUUUUUGCUAUAUUAACCCCUGAAAGCCGAACAUCCCUUUCCCUUUUCCUUUACCUGUUCGCCGGUAAAGUUUUAUCAGCUAUUUCCACCAACUUUUCGUUUCCACUGCUAAUCCUACGGCACUAGAUCCACCAUCUCUUCCGUCGUGGUAAUCAUCCUCCUCCAUCGCGAACAUUGGUACUCAUGGCCCAGUUUGUCUUCUGUCUCUCUCCACCUCCCUCAUAACAAAUCCCGGCACCUCAUCCAUAAGGUAAAUCGUUUCCCCGCUUUUUAGUCCCUCUGUAGCUAUAAUGUGUGACGAUUAAUUUCCCCC
This 1287-nucleotide long non-coding RNA is filed under the name Gossypium barbadense (sea-island cotton). RNAcentral describes it as "long non-coding RNA (GBAR_LNC015124)". The record is from RNAcentral. Lineage: Eukaryota; Viridiplantae; Streptophyta; Magnoliopsida; Malvales; Malvaceae.